This 253-nucleotide ribosomal RNA is filed under the name uncultured bacterium. RNAcentral describes it as "partial 16S ribosomal RNA". It matches the Rfam family "Bacterial small subunit ribosomal RNA", at positions 524 to 776 of the family's 1533-position model. The record is from RNAcentral.
UACGUAGGUGGCGAGCGUUGUCCGGAUUUACUGGGCGUAAAGAGCGCGCAGGCGGUCGUUCAAGUCGCGUGUGAAAGCCCCCGGCUCAACUGGGGAGGGUCACGCGAUACUGAUCGACUCGAAGGCAGGAGAGGGUAGUGGAAUUCCCGGUGUAGUGGUGAAAUGCGUAGAUAUCGGGAGGAACACCAGUGGCGAAGGCGACUACCUGGCCUGUUCUUGACGCUGAGGCGCGAAAGCUAGGGGAGCAAACGGG